UCCACUUUUGUAUGCAAUCUGAGCGCGAAUUAGAGAGAAAUUACUGUAUCUUGUCUCCCUAUAGGUCUCCUUUAUUCACUUCUUUAGUUCUUCGCUCUUUCCUCUUUUCCUCAUCCCAUAGUUUGCCUCUAUCUACCGAGUCGCUGCUCUCAAAUCUAUGAAGAAGGCCACAUUCUUCUCCCAUUCUGUCUGAGUGUGGAUGCGGGACAUUUAAGAAGAUACUUCGUGGAUACAGCAAUAAGAAAUUUUAUGGCGCUGCAAAUGAUGGAGGAUUGAAGGAACGUUUCGUCCGAGGCCCGUUGAGGAUUCAUCAGCGAGGCUAUUAUGGUGUGCUCCGCAUCCAGCGUGAGCAGCUGCGCGAUCUGGAGAUCUGCGCCACCGCACAACGCAUCGUUUCGGAGACUGAUAGUGCCAUGGACUUACGUGACUUGGCGCAGAAUAAAAAGAUAAUCACUCGAAAUGGCUGAUAUGGCAUCAGGCCAGUCAGACUUCAUGUUCAAAACUUAGACAUUAUACAUCAUCGUGAACAUUUUGUAAACCGAUGAUGCGUACGGAAUAUUUCACAAAAGCUGCAAAGUGAAUCAAAAUAGUGUUGGGUGUUAGAUUUAAUAUAAUAACAAACACUUUUUCGUGGUUUUAUAACUAUUAACCAGAAAUCUAUAUUCUAUAAACUCUCUCUUAACAAUCCUUGGCUUGUUUGAACAAUAAAUAACGUAUCUACAACUUAA
This is a long non-coding RNA of Megalopta genalis, 728 nucleotides long. RefSeq lists it as uncharacterized. The record is from RefSeq and is a predicted model, not a curated record. Lineage: Eukaryota; Metazoa; Arthropoda; Insecta; Hymenoptera; Halictidae.